Molecule: ribosomal RNA, 253 nt
Filed under: uncultured bacterium
Lineage: Bacteria
Description: partial 16S ribosomal RNA
Rfam family: Bacterial small subunit ribosomal RNA
Source: RNAcentral
UACGGAGGGUGCAAGCGUUAAUCGGAAUUACUGGGCGUAAAGCGUGCGUAGACGGUUAUGUAAGUCGGGUGUGAAAGCCCCGGGCUCAACCUGGGAAUUGCAUUCGAGACUGUGUAGCUAGGGUACGGAAGAGGGAAGCGGAAUUUCAGGUGUAGCGGUGAAAUGCGUAGAUAUCUGAAGGAACACCAGUGGCGAAAGCGGCUUCCUGGUCCAGUACCGACGUUCAGGCACGAAAGCGUGGGGAGCAAACAGG